Molecule: long non-coding RNA, 1392 nt
Organism: Bombus pascuorum
Lineage: Eukaryota; Metazoa; Arthropoda; Insecta; Hymenoptera; Apidae
Exons: 3
Source: RefSeq, a predicted model, not a curated record
CACAAUGCCACGUACACAGGCGUGCAGCUGCGCUCGCGAACGUGAGCCCAGGCCAGACCAGCGUGCGGCACACGUUGUCAUUUCCGUCGUGAAACAUUUGACCACGUUAUAACGCUAAUAUCGCGCGUCACCGUGUCAAGGGUGAGAGUUGAAUAUUUAAUUCGCGGUAUUGUCGGAGUCCUCGGUGCUGCUCGAUUGCUUCUUUCUUUCCGUCUCUUCUGUGCAGUCGGUUCCGACUAAUUAAUCCUGAGAUUUCUUUUGCUGCUGCUUGCGUCACGAGCAACGAUUCCGAUAAUGGAUGGCGGACGUUCAUAUAUUACGUAGAUGUACUCUUCAUAAACUUUUUCGAAGGGUCUUGCUGCGAACACGUUGAAUGGUAACCAUGGAAAAUUGGGUAAACCCGGCCGCCGGAAUAUUGCACGUUGUCAUCAAAGGAUUAAUUGAAAAUGGAGAUGACACUGUCGCCGCUUGAAAAUUACUGGGAAUGUGGAUUAUCAGAGUGCCAGGUAUAAACGUAUCUCUGUUUAUAAUGUCACUUCGAAUUGGGAUAUCUGAAUUGGCGGCAUUAUGAUUGCAACAAACCCAAAGGAUAAUCGCAAGUAAUACGAUAAUUACCGAGGAAGUGCAUUUUUAAGACUGAUUAAUUAAGACAAAAACUUCAGUUUAGUGUACGUAUUUCAUUCUUAUUAUUUGCAAUACCGUUUUAUAUUUGCAACGGUAAAUGAACAGCAGUAAAAUAACUAUGUCAGGAUAAACCACUGUAUGGAUAAAUGAAAGGUGCAAGCUCUCGAUUAGAGGUAAGAGGUUUAAAACUGAACUAAAACUAUGAAUUCAAUGGUUGCUCCUUUAAAGUACUUAUGUGGUUGGAGCUACAUUAGCUUAUUGUUAGUAAUAAUACUAAUUUUAUUAUACAUGGAUGCAUUGAUACGCAAAAUGUAAUUUCGCGUUUACGAGAGCUUACCAUGUACUGUAUGUAUAUGUGCGAAAUAAUUGAAGGAUUAAUUUACAACACCAGAGAUUGUAUAUUUAGUACAAUGAUGUAGUAAUCAUAAUGGCUACUAAUAAUAUAUAGAUGCGUUAUAGAUAAUUUCGAAUUAUUAGUUGUUGCAUAUGAUACAAUUAGCGAUUAUAGACUGUUAUCUAAAGUAUAAACUAUUUAAGUUUCGUGUAAUGAUUUGUGCAAAUGUCCUUUCAUUGCCAAUUGUUUAGUAUCGUUUAUAAUAUGAAUACACGUAUGGAAGUUAUGUAAAAAUUUACCGUACUUUGGAUGUAAAGUGAAAUUGUUAUGAGAGAAGAUUCUUACACGCCACGAAAUGUUUCUUUAUUUCUAAAAAAUAUAAUAUAAAAUGUGUAAAAAAUGAAAUGCAUAUGUCAAUAGAAUUAGUGUUUAAG